CAUGUCUUUUUGAUUAUAAUUUAAAGUCUGACCUGCCCUAUGAAUAAUUUUAUUUAAAUGGCUGCGGUAUUCUGACCGUGCAAAGGUAGCAUAAUAAUUAGUUUUUUAAUUGGGAACUGGUAUGAAAGGUCGAACGAGAAAAAGACUGUCUCAAUUUAAUUUUAAUUAGAAUUUUAUUUUUAAGUAAAAAAGCUUAAAUAAUUUUAAAAGACGAGAAGACCCUAUAGAGUUUUAUAAUUUAAAAUAUUUUUAAAAGUUAAAGAAUUUUAGAGUUAAUUUUAUUUUAAAUUAUUUGGUUGGGGCAAUUAAAAAAUUAAAAUAACUUUUUUUAUUAUUAUAACAUUGAUUUAUGAUUAAGUGAUCCAUAGUUUAUGAUUAAAAGAUUAAAUUACCUUAGGGAUAACAGCGUAAUUUUUUUUAGAGUUCUUAUCGAAAAAAAAGUUUGCGACC
This 450-nucleotide ribosomal RNA is filed under the name Gromphas aeruginosa. RNAcentral's name for it is "partial 16S ribosomal RNA". Lineage: Eukaryota; Metazoa; Arthropoda; Insecta; Coleoptera; Scarabaeidae. The record is from RNAcentral.